Molecule: ribosomal RNA, 403 nt
Filed under: uncultured microorganism
Description: bacterial SSU rRNA
Rfam family: Bacterial small subunit ribosomal RNA
Source: RNAcentral
GAGUUUGAUCAUGGCUCAGAUUGAACGCUGGCGGCAUGCCUUACACAUGCAAGUCGAACGGCAGCAUGAUCUAGCUUGCUAGAUUGAUGGCGAGUGGCGAACGGGUGAGUAAUACAUCGGAACGUGCCCUGUAGUGGGGAUAACUAGUCGAAAGAUUAGCUAAUACCGCAUACGACCUGAGGGUGAAAGUGGGGGACCGCAAGGCCUCAUGCUAUAGGAGCGGCCGAUGUCUGAUUAGCUAGUUGGUGGGGUAAAGGCCCACCAAGGCGAUGAUCAGUAGCUGGUCUGAGAGGACGAUCAGCCACACUGGGACUGAGACACGGCCCAGACUCCUACGGGAGGCAGCAGUGGGGAAUUUUGGACAAUGGGCGAAAGCCUGAUCCAGCAAUGCCGCGUGUGUGAG